GACUCGCUAAAAACAGAAGAAAACAAUAACAUCCACUCCAUGCAUGCAUGGAGCUCCUUAUUGAAUGAAGCUGUCCACAGAAAGGUCUCUGGAGUAAGUCGACAAUUGCGGCCGCCUCGUUAUAGAUAUGGACAUGAGACUGGACCCAUACCAAAAUAGACUUCAUAAGCUUUCCAUCAUGUAUUUGAACAUCAAAAUCGGUCACCGUAUGAAGUCUUGGUGGCCAUCACAAGUUGUUAUAAUUCUGUAGUCUAAAUUUAGCCUGUGCCAAUCCCCUAUGCUUCUGGUCCUCUCCAUCAUUCCUAAGCAAAACAAGAGUGCACGUGUCUCUAUUAUCUAAAUAUGAUGGACAAGAGUUUAAGAAUGAACUUACUUGAUGGUUGAGUUGAUGGGCACAGGCACGAGUAAGAGGCCCAAGUGGUGUUGGCGAUGGUGUGGUUGUAGGUGUGGAUGUAUAGAUGGUGCUGGUGUCCUCAUCAGUUUUUGAGCCUAUGGUGCAUUAGGUGCAAACCGUUCACCUAUCUUGCACCAAAACUGACUGUAUCUCCAAAUA
RNAcentral lists this long non-coding RNA (553 nucleotides) under Sorghum bicolor (sorghum). RNAcentral's name for it is "long non-coding RNA (SBIC_LNC004883)". Lineage: Eukaryota; Viridiplantae; Streptophyta; Magnoliopsida; Poales; Poaceae. The record is from RNAcentral.